RNAcentral lists this ribosomal RNA (429 nucleotides) under Triticum aestivum (bread wheat). Its description in RNAcentral is "partial small subunit ribosomal RNA". The record is from RNAcentral. Lineage: Eukaryota; Viridiplantae; Streptophyta; Magnoliopsida; Poales; Poaceae.
AUGCAACAUGGGAGGAAAUUGCAACACUCAGAUGGGAUUGGAGGAAUAAAUGUCAAUACUAUUUGGAGCAAGAUUUGGAAAUUAUCUUGUCCAGCAAAAGUGAAGAUCUUUAUUUGGCGUACCUUACAUGAAACCCUCCCGUGUCGUGUUACACUUGCUAAUAGACAUAUGAAAGUUUCGACCUGCCCAUCAUGUUCGAACGGGCAUGAAGAUACUAAACACUUAUUAUUUUUAUGUCAAAAGGCAAAAGAGGCGUGGGAGAAACUGGGUUUGCGCGAAGCCAUUAAAAAAGCCUGUGCGGUCGAUCGUGCGGGAGAGGCAGUACUUGAAUUUCUAUUUUUUAUGCGUCAACAUGAGCUAUCUACAGUGGGCAUACAGAAUGUUCGCGAACUGAUUGCUAUAACAGCAUGGUAUUUAUGGUGGGAAAGA